Small nuclear RNA from Cercocebus atys (sooty mangabey), 107 nucleotides. The record is from Ensembl. Lineage: Eukaryota; Metazoa; Chordata; Mammalia; Primates; Cercopithecidae.
GUGCUCACAUCUGCAGCACAUAUACUAAAAGUAGAAUGAGACAGAGAAGAUUAGCAUAGUCCCUGUGCAAGAAUGACACACAAAUUCAUGAAGAUUUCAUAUUUUUA